RNAcentral lists this ribosomal RNA (603 nucleotides) under Papiliotrema flavescens. RNAcentral describes it as "partial large subunit ribosomal RNA". It matches the Rfam family "Eukaryotic large subunit ribosomal RNA", at positions 65 to 659 of the family's 3401-position model. The record is from RNAcentral. Lineage: Eukaryota; Fungi; Basidiomycota; Tremellomycetes; Tremellales; Rhynchogastremaceae.
CCUCCGGGCAUUCCCCUAGUACGGCGAGUGACCGGGAAGAGCUCAAAUUUGAAAUCUGGCGUGCUCAGUGCGUCCGAGUUGUAAUCUAUAGAGUCGUUUUCCGUGCCGGACUGUGUCCAAGUCCCUUGGAACAGGGUAUCAAAGAGGGUGAUAAUCCCGUACUUGACACAAUGACCGGUGCUCUGUGAUACGUCUUCUACGAGUCGAGUUGUUUGGGAAUGCAGCUCAAAAUGGGUGGUGAGUUCCAUCUAAAGCUAAAUAUUGGCGAGAGACCGAUAGCGAACAAGUACCGUGAGGGAAAGAUGAAAAGCACUUUGGAAAGAGAGUUAAACAGUACGUGAAAUUGUUAAAAGGGAAACGAUUGAAGUCAGUCGUGACUGAGAGGCUCAGCCGGUUCUGCCGGUGUAUUCCCCUCAGUCGGGUCAACAUCAGUUUUGUUCGGUGGAUAAGGGCAGUUGGAAGGUGGCACCCUCGGGUGUGUUAUAGCCAGCUGUCGCAUACAUCGGAUGAGACUGAGGAAUGCAGCUCGCCUUUAUGGCCGGGGUUCGCCCACGUUCGAGCUUAGGAUGUUGACAUAAUGGCUUUAAACGACCCGUCUUGACC